RNAcentral lists this transfer RNA (65 nucleotides) under Dipodomys ordii (Ord's kangaroo rat). It matches the Rfam family "tRNA". Rfam says of the family: Transfer RNA (tRNA) molecules are approximately 80 nucleotides in length. The record is from Rfam by way of RNAcentral. Lineage: Eukaryota; Metazoa; Chordata; Mammalia; Rodentia; Heteromyidae.
GGUGGCUCAGUGGUAGAGCUCUUGCCUUGCAUGCAGGAGGCCCUGGGUUUGACUCUUCAGCACCA